UACGUAGGGUGCAAGCGUUAAUCGGAAUUACUGGGCGUAAAGCGUGCGCAGGCGGUUUUGUAAGACCGAUGUGAAAUCCCCGGGCUCAACCUGGGAACUGCAUUGGUGACUGCAAGGCUUGAGUGUGUCAGAGGGAGGUGGAAUUCCGCGUGUAGCAGUGAAAUGCGUAGAUAUGCGGAGGAACACCGAUGGCGAAGGCAGCCUCCUGGGAUAACACUGACGCUCAUGCACGAAAGCGUGGGGAGCAAACAGG
This 253-nucleotide ribosomal RNA is filed under the name uncultured bacterium. RNAcentral's name for it is "partial 16S ribosomal RNA". It matches the Rfam family "Bacterial small subunit ribosomal RNA", at positions 524 to 776 of the family's 1533-position model. The record is from RNAcentral.